RNAcentral lists this unclassified non-coding RNA (335 nucleotides) under soil metagenome. RNAcentral describes it as "partial contains 5.8S ribosomal RNA, internal transcribed spacer 2, and large subunit ribosomal RNA". The stretch from base 1 to 120 matches the Rfam family "5.8S ribosomal RNA", at positions 35 to 154 of the family's 154-position model. The record is from RNAcentral.
GAUGAAGAACGUAGCGAAAUGCGAUAAGUAAUGUGAAUUGCAGAAUUCAGUGAAUCAUCGAAUCUUUGAACGCACAUUGCGCCCUCUGGCAUUCCGGAGGGCAUGCCUGUUCGAGCGUCAUUUCAACCAUCAAGCCCCCGGCUUGUGUUGGGGACCUGCGGCUGCCGCAGGCCCUGAAAACCAGUGGCGGGCUCGCUAGUCACUCCGAGCGUAGUAAUACAUCUCGCUCAGGGCGUGCUGCGGGUUCCGGCCGUUAAAAAGCCUUAUUUACCCAAGGUUGACCUCGGAUCAGGUAGGAAGACCCGCUGAACUUAAGCAUAUCAAUAAGCGGAGGA